Molecule: non-coding RNA, 59 nt
Organism: Corynebacterium lipophiloflavum DSM 44291
Lineage: Bacteria; Bacillati; Actinomycetota; Actinomycetes; Mycobacteriales; Corynebacteriaceae
Source: Rfam
UGAGGACACCUACCACUUAAGGAGCGUUCGGCACGUACCUGCCGAUGGAGGAGAAUUUC